This 234-nucleotide ribosomal RNA is filed under the name uncultured bacterium. RNAcentral's name for it is "partial 16S ribosomal RNA". It matches the Rfam family "Bacterial small subunit ribosomal RNA", at positions 32 to 244 of the family's 1533-position model. The record is from RNAcentral.
AAUCAACGCUGGCGGCGUGCCUCAGACAUGCAAGUCGAACGCGAAAGUUCCCUUCGGGGAGCAAGUAGAGUGGCGCACGGGUGAGUAACACGUAGGUAAUCUACCUUCGGAUGGGGAAUAACAACCGGAAACGGUUGCUAGUACCGCAUAAUGCAGCGGCACCUAAUGGUGACAGUUGUUAAAGCGGGGGAGUCGAAAGACCUCGCGUCUGAAGAGGAGCCUGCGGCGGAUUAG